CGCUCCUGCAGCGGAACUCGUUGUCUGUGCACUGCUUUGGCGCUACGAGAGCAGAGGGACGGAUGACCGGGGAAACAUUAGAGCAGGAGGUUAAGGGGGUGAAAGGAUGCUGGAGGAGAUGGUACCAGGAAGUUCAUCAGUGCCAUCUCCACAGUCAUCUGAGCCAUCGCACACCCAUCUGAAGGACAUGCAUCUCCCGUUCCCGCACUCGAAUUGCUUUGUUCCGCAUGUGGCAGAGAUGGUGAUAAAUUUGCUGCCAGAGGAGCGAGGGGCCGAGAGUUAUGGUCGCUGCCAGCAAAACCAGUGACGACACUGAGUCGCCCUCCCAACCCCCUUCUUUUAAUGGACCCGAUGAAGCCACUGAACUGGAAGAACCAAUUAGACUGUACAUCAGACAGACAGCACUUGAUGAGAAGGUACUCAAGGCCAUUCUUCCCUGUGGCCCCGGGGCCUCAAAACCUCGCAUGGCCACCUGUUUCUGACAGGGGCCCGGAGGGAGGCGUAACAGCACCAGAAGCUUAGGCGCAUUUAGCAUCUUCACAGCAACUUUAUGUUUGAAAUUAAAUAUUUACGUUUGACUAUUAAAAUUUUCCUGAGUUUGUGAGCUACAAGCUUGGAAAAAAAAAAGAUAAAUCAUACAUGAUGUGUCCGUGCACGUGCUCCAGCACAGUAAAUAAUACUUCAGCUUGUGGGUGAAGUCAAACAUCUGGUGUCUCAGUCUUGCUGCUUUUUGCUUUAGAUGCAGUCAAACAAGGAGACGCUGUAUUCCUCUGAGCUUCUGCAGAUUGAGGGAAUUGUCUCUUGUAGUAUUUUAUAUGACUCCAUAAUUACAGUGGGUCAACAUUAAGCCUGUCGCUUCCUUAUGACUUCCAGUGAAAAGGCUGUGCAUUGUCGCCCCGGCCAUAAAGAUGACGAAGAGUUUCAUGUUUACAAACGUGUUUUUAUCAAAGAGGAUAUCCUGGUGCUUAAUACAGAAGAAAAACACACGGUGGAGUUUCUCGCUUUAUAGAUCAGCUCUCAUUCCCUGAAACUGAGGACACGUUACACAAAUCCCAAGUUCACGCAGCUAUUUACUCAACGGGCUUAAAGUCCAGACUCUGAAUGACAAACUGGGCUGAAUGGCAGCGUUAUUGAUCACAGUAAAAAUCAGUGCUGG
Seriola aureovittata is the source of this 1156-nucleotide long non-coding RNA. RefSeq lists it as uncharacterized. The record is from RefSeq and is a predicted model, not a curated record. NCBI's taxonomy places the organism in Eukaryota, Metazoa, Chordata, Actinopteri, Carangiformes, Carangidae. The transcript is spliced from 4 exons.